Long non-coding RNA from Andrographis paniculata, 615 nucleotides. RefSeq lists it as uncharacterized. The record is from RefSeq and is a predicted model, not a curated record. The transcript is spliced from 5 exons. NCBI's taxonomy places the organism in Eukaryota, Viridiplantae, Streptophyta, Magnoliopsida, Lamiales, Acanthaceae.
CUCCUUGCAAAGCUACAGUUGAUGAGGCAUCCAUUGACACAGAUAGUUCAACCCACAAUGAGAUUCCUUGCGAAAAAACUGUUGUUCUAUCUUCAAUGGGUGACAUGGAGAUUCUUAUGAACAAUAUGAAUUUUGCUGGACCAAGUUUUUCAUUGGGGUUGAGUCAAUCGUCUGGUGAAAAAAACAUUGUUGAUCCUACACUCGAAAAUGAAAAGACAUACAAUGAAUGUCAAGAGGAUGUUGUAGCUGCUACUCUUGGUCCAUUUAGUGCUACUGAAGAGCAACUUAGACUUCAAUUUAAGAAUCAAAACUUUGAUGAAGAAGACUACAUUGGUGUUGAAUCGCCAAUCGACACAAGGCAGCAAAGGCAAUUUAUUGCUUCAAGGGUGUUUAGAUCACCAUAUUCUUGCUGUUAAAAGUGUCCAAAAAGCUUGUCAUCUCACUAAUAUUGAGGAGUCAGUAGUGACUUGGAUAUGGGGUUUAUCUGAUCGUGAAGCUUAUGGUGAAACAAUUGUGUCUGAUGGAAAUAGCUACAUGCAUAUCGAAGAAAUACAAAGCUUAGCACCAGGGCGAUAUAUUAUAGACACUGCAAUUGAUUGUUAUGCUCAUUUUCUU